AGAAACCGGGGAUUUUAGAAAACCCCNCCGGUUAUUUUCCUGGCCAGUUAACGAUGUCAAACUAGGUGCUUGGGGUACCCAAUCCCUGGCGUGCUCCGCCUACGGCAGUAACGUUGACCGCCUGGGGGAGUACGGCCGCCAAGGCCUAAACUCAAAGGAAUUGACGGGGCCCGCACAAGCAGCGGAGCGUGUGGUUUAAUUCGAGGCAACGCGAAGAACCUUACCAGGGUUGGACAUGGCGGUGGUAGGGAGGUGAAAGCCGACCGACUCUUCGGAGAGCCGCCACAGGUGCUGCAUGGCUGUCGUCAGCUCGUGCCGUGAGGUGUUAGGUUAAGUCCUGUAACGAGCGCAACCCACGUCGUCAGUUAUACGUGUCUGGCGAGACUGCCGGUGAUAAGCCGGUAGGAAGGUCGUGGAUGACGUCAAGUCAGCAUGGCCUUUAUAUCCUGGGCUACACACACGCUACAAUGGCCGGUACAAUGGGUAGCCAAGCCGCGAGGCGGAGCCAAUCCCGCAAAGCCGGUCUCAGUUCGGAUUGCAGGCUGCAACUCGCCUGCAUGAAGUCGGAGUUGCUAGUAACCGCAGGUCAGCCACACUGCGGUGAAUACGUUCCCGGGCCUUGUACACACCGCCCGUCACGUCAUGGAAGCUGGCACGCCUGAAGUCGGUGGGUGAACCCGCAAGGGACACAGCCGCCUAAGGUGGGUGGUGACUGGGACGAAGUCGUACAUGUAGCUC
This 738-nucleotide ribosomal RNA is filed under the name uncultured bacterium. Its description in RNAcentral is "bacterial SSU rRNA". It matches the Rfam family "Bacterial small subunit ribosomal RNA", at positions 767 to 1501 of the family's 1533-position model. The record is from RNAcentral.